This 400-nucleotide ribosomal RNA is filed under the name uncultured bacterium. Its description in RNAcentral is "bacterial SSU rRNA". It matches the Rfam family "Bacterial small subunit ribosomal RNA", at positions 29 to 430 of the family's 1533-position model. The record is from RNAcentral.
AUUGAACGCUGGCGGCAUGCUUUACACAUGCAAGUCGAGCGGCAGCGCGGGGGCAACCCUGGCGGCGAGCGGCGAACGGGUGAGUAAUGCAUCGGAACGUACCCUGGAGUGGGGGAUAACGCCGCGAAAGCGGCGCUAAUACCGCAUAUGCUCUGAGGAGGAAAGUGGGGGACCGCAAGGCCUCACGCUCUGGGAGCGGCCGAUGUCCGAUUAGCUAGUUGGUGAGGUAAAGGCUUACCAAGGCGACGAUCGGUAGCUGGUCUGAGAGGAUGGAUCAGCCACACUGGGACUGAGACACGGCCCAGACUCCUACGGGAGGCAGCAGUGGGAAUUUUGGACAAUGGGGGCAACCCUGAUCCAGCCAUGCCGCGUGAGUGAAGAAGGCCUUCGGGUUGGUAAA